CCGAUACAAUGAUGACAGCAUAGUUCAGCAGAUUAACCAUGAAGAACACUCAGCAUUGUCUUUCGCUCCUAUCUGAUGUAUUGG
Small nucleolar RNA from Oncorhynchus kisutch (coho salmon), 84 nucleotides. NCBI's taxonomy places the organism in Eukaryota, Metazoa, Chordata, Actinopteri, Salmoniformes, Salmonidae. The record is from Ensembl.